CAAGUCUUCUGAAGUUUCUAUAAAUUUCUCAUCAAACUGAAAAGCAGAAAGAGUCAAUGAGUUCUCGUUAAUUCAUGGCAUAGCAUUAUUGAACUUGAAUGGCCCUGUCCGGUACAGACUAUGGAGAAGUUCAUGAAACCGUGGCUCAGAGGUUAAACGACAUGUUCAGUCAAACUCCAGCUAGUGACGUUUCAUGGAAAUCCACACCCAGGACUAAAACGAGGGCAGGGCUGGAACCCACCCCGAUGUGGGCCCUGGGAGUCUGGGAGGAGCCUUUAAGCCAGACCUUUGUUUUCCCCCAAUAUUAAUACUUACAACAGUGCGUUGUUCACUCUUA
Molecule: long non-coding RNA, 337 nt
Organism: Camelus dromedarius (Arabian camel)
Lineage: Eukaryota; Metazoa; Chordata; Mammalia; Artiodactyla; Camelidae
Exons: 2
Source: RefSeq, a predicted model, not a curated record